This is a long non-coding RNA of Coffea arabica (coffee), 440 nucleotides long. RefSeq lists it as uncharacterized. The record is from RefSeq and is a predicted model, not a curated record. NCBI's taxonomy places the organism in Eukaryota, Viridiplantae, Streptophyta, Magnoliopsida, Gentianales, Rubiaceae.
GAUAGACUAUUAUUAUUCGUUCAGGCGCACGCGAGGACCUUUAAGAGGAUCCGACAGAGGACGCUUGAACUUCAAAUUGAACCUAUUGCCCUUGUUUGACUAGGUUCUGACAACUGAGGAAGACUUGAGAUCUACUUGUAUUUUAAGCAUGUAGUUUGAAUUAAACAAUGUAGCUUUUGCUUCGGGUUGCCACUUGAAGCUGGAAAAGUGUAAACCCUGGAUUUGUAUGUGGCUUGUAUGAAAUUUGUUACUUGGCUUAUAAGGAUGUAUUUGAAUUAUAUGUUUUGUUUCUAGGGUUGUAAUCGGGAAGGUAUUUUAAGAAUCGACGUUGGCUAUCUUAAGGCACUGUUAUCUCUGAAGUUAAUGUGAUUCUAGAAACCGGCCUAUUUGGAGGGAAACGAUGUUGUAAUAGAUUAGGUUAUACUUCGGAAGGACUUUUG